GGAGGGAUGGCCGAGUGGUUUAAGGCGACUGUCUUGAAAACAGUUGUGGGUUUACGCUCACCGGGGGUUCGAAUCCCUCUCCCUCCG
This 87-nucleotide transfer RNA is filed under the name Anaerolineales bacterium. Its description in RNAcentral is "tRNA-Ser". It matches the Rfam family "tRNA". Rfam says of the family: Transfer RNA (tRNA) molecules are approximately 80 nucleotides in length. The record is from RNAcentral. Lineage: Bacteria; Bacillati; Chloroflexota; Anaerolineae; Anaerolineales.